RNAcentral lists this ribosomal RNA (254 nucleotides) under uncultured bacterium. RNAcentral's name for it is "partial 16S ribosomal RNA". It matches the Rfam family "Bacterial small subunit ribosomal RNA", at positions 524 to 776 of the family's 1533-position model. The record is from RNAcentral.
UACGGGGGGAGCAAGCGUUGUUCGGAGUUACUGGGCGUAAAGGGUGUGUAGGCGGUUGUUUAAGUUUGGUGUGAAAUCUCCCGGCUCAACUGGGAGGGUGCGCCGAAUACUGAAUGACUUGGAGUGCGGGAGAGGUGAGUGGAAUUCCUGGUGUAGCGGUGAAAUGCGUAGAUAUCAGGAGGAACACCGGUGGUGUAGACGGCUCACUGGACCGUAACUGACGCUGAGACACGAAAGCGUGGGUAGCAAACAGG